Long non-coding RNA from Phyllostomus discolor (pale spear-nosed bat), 3425 nucleotides. RefSeq lists it as uncharacterized. NCBI's taxonomy places the organism in Eukaryota, Metazoa, Chordata, Mammalia, Chiroptera, Phyllostomidae. The record is from RefSeq and is a predicted model, not a curated record. The transcript is spliced from 2 exons.
UCAUAUUUGAGGUGUUUUCAAAGCCUGGCUUAAAUAUUCAAUUCAUUUGCUUUUAAAACUUCAGAACAGGAAAUUUAACACCUUCUUUAAUGAACACAGAAUAAUUUAGUUCCAUUCCCAAUUAAGCUAAUAGGGAGGGAAGGGAGAAAGUUAGGGAACUAUAAAGAGGGGCAUGUGGCUGCAGGAAGGGGGAGAGAGAGUGAGAGAGAGAGGAGGGGGACAAGGAGGGAGGGGUGUGAAGACAGGGAAGGAGCCUCGGGGUUUGCAAAUGAAGCGGGGCAGGUUUUGGACGCAGACACCAGCUGCUGUGCUGUUAAGGACACAACUGGGACCCAGUCCAGCUCCCAGCCUGUUGACCUCCCCCUGUCGCUGUCAACACAGCCACCUACAACCACCCCAGGACAAUGGAGCUUGCUGGCCGGGGAGGUCCAGCUCCACAAACAUAUGUAAAGAUACCAGCUUUGAACUGCAUCCCCAUGCGUACUACUGGCACAUAAGCCCUUGGAUGGUUAUUUCACUUCUCUGAGCUGCUGUACACUCAUCCAUAAGUCUGUACAUGAAGAAUAUACACCUCAAAGGGUUGGUGGGCAGGUGAGAUGGGAUGAAUGCAGACAUGCAAUAGUGGGUGGGACGUAUGAAAUGCCAGCUAUCUGCCAGGCAUUGGGCUAAAUGGUUUACAUGCUUUAUCUCGUUCUAUCUCCUCCACAUGGCCUUAUGGAGGUGGACACUAUUACUGACCUCCUGUCAGAAAUGUGGAAACCGAAACUCAGAAUGGGGAAAUUCUUCUCCAGGUGGCUCAGCUGGUGGUGGUGGAGCCAGACCCUCUGCUGCAGAGCCCACAUGCUGCCAUGCCUUCAGCACCGUGCCUGGCAGUGACCCUGCCACAUGUGACUGCACAGGUCUGCUGCAGAGGUCAGAGUGAGACAACCCAUGAGUAAGUGCUAGCACCCUCCAGGUCCUUGAGAAUGUUUGUUGAAUGACUGACCAAACGUGGAUGAGCUCAUCAAAUAAUUGUCAUACUCCUUGGCUGCUUUCUCUAAUCAUUAACUUUAUAGGAGCAUCCCUCUGACAGAAACCUUAUGGAAAAUCUCUAAUCCCGAAUUAUACAAGGGUCGGGUCUAACUAAAAGAUGACAAGAGAGUCAUUUGUGUUGUGACCUCAGUUAUUUUAUAGCACCGCUGAACCUAUCAUAUGUUUUUUUUUUUUUGCCAGUGAUCAAACAACAGGACAGCAAAGCAUAAAUGCCAGGUCUAGGGCAAGCCCUCCCUUCUCCCACCUGGUCCAACUGGCACUGGACUUCCCCAGUGUGCCGUGGGCAACCUGACACCCAGUCUACCCCGGGGCACAGAGCUGGCUGCCUCCAGACUCUCCUUGCCUUUGAUGGGGCCUCUCCCUGGACUGGUAGCAAUGGCUUUGCAUGGUUGUUUCCCACCUUUUGGGAUAGACUUCCCUUUCAAAACUUGUCUAAAAAAAUAACCCCAUGAAUUUAUCCCUAACCACAAUGAAGAAGAUACAUAGAACAGAGUGAGGCCAUGUAUGGAAAAGGGCUUUGAAAUUUUCUUGAAAAUUGAGGUACAAAUGCAAGAUUUUAAAAGUCAGUUCCAUUGCCAAAAGGCCAAAGCAAUCCAGUGUCCAUGAUGGGUGAAAGUUUAACCAAACAUGGUCUAUACGUACAUGGGGAUAUUAUUCAGCCUACAAAAGGAAGGGAAUUCUGAAACGUGUUGCAACAUAGAGGAAGCUUGACAACAUCAUGCUGAGUGAAAGAAGCCAAGAACAAGGACAAGUACUGUAUGGCUCCACUUCCGGGAGUAACCUCGAGAGGUCAAGUUCAGUCCGAUGGGGAGUUAUUGUUGUUUAAGGGACAGAGUUUCAGCAAUGAAAGGUGAUCUGAGAUGGAUGGUGGUAAUGGCUGCACCCAACUGAACAUUUCAAACUGGUUAGAAGAGUCUCCGUGGAGAUGACCAGUGUAAACAGAUCCUUGUAUCCUUCCAGAAAUACUCCCUUGGACACAAUGAAAUGGAACCAGAAGUGCUCAGAGCACAUGCAGAGGCCGUUCCUCUAAGUGAGCCAAGGCUAAGGGUUCUGCCCUUCAUUUUCACCGGCAAAGAAACAGUGGAAAUAGGAGCCAGCAGGACUGGAGGCGGCAGGGAUCCCCUCUGGGUUCCUUGGCAGAUCACCUAACAUGAAAAGGAACUGUGUGGGGGUAGGAUGUGAUCGGCCAAGUGUCAGGUGCUUUUCAUCCAGGACCAAGCUAGCUUAGCUUUAAAAGAGUGAUGGCUGAAGACACAAUGCAGUUGGCAAAAGAAGUCACGGCUCUCGUGUGUGAUAGAGGAUAAAGGUUCAAUGUGGCAGAUGAGGGCCUUCUCUGAAGAGGUCGCUGUGUGGUGUGGAAGCUUGGGAAAAGAAAGCUGUUUCAUGUAAGCUGCCCAAGGUGUACGUUUAUGAAGGGGGGGGGGGCGGCAUCUCUCCACAGUUGAACUGUGGGUGUCCCCAAACAAGAAACAAGAGAACUAGAUGGUUCCCAGGUGACAUGCCAGGAGAUUGACAACAGGAUGGGGCCCAGGUCUGGGGAUUAUAUUAGAAAGGAUCUGACAUGUCCCGUUGGAGGGAGGCCCAAUUCUGAAGGUGGAAGACUUCAAUGAAGUAGAGGAGGAAGGAGAGGGCAAAUCAGGCAACUACAUACAACAAAAGACCUGAGUGAACCUAUUUUGCAAGGGGACGGUCUUGGAGAUGAAACUGGGAGAGGCAAAAAGGAAUGGGUUUGGAGCCUGAGGCCUGGGCUCAGUCUGGUUCUAAUACUUGUUAGCAGUGUGAACCUGGCAAGUCAAACUCCUCCUGUGUCAGUUUCCUAAUGAAGAUUAACACCCAAGAGAUAAUAAUAGUCUUUCCUUGGGGUGUUGUGUGAUCAGCUGAGUUGCUAUACAAUGAAGGCUUAGAACAAUGCCUGGCACAAAGCUAACUCAACGCUUUUCAGCUACUAGUACUUUUAAUAAAGGCCUGUUCAGGCCUGUUUUGCUGGCACAGAAAUACGUGGCGAUGAGUCUGGAAAAGCACACCCACAGAUGGGUUUCACGUAGCGAUAGUGAGGGAAAAGGGGAUGAAGAGAAAGGACAUACCAGGAAGAAUGGGAAAAAGCGUUCAGGGCGGAACUAUUUCAGAGAAAACAGCCUCCUUGGUAGGCUACCUGUUCAAAGCUAGAUGGUUUAAGGGAAUGACUCUUGGAAAUUAAAUGGAGAAAGCUUAAGUUCAGUUCGAAGCAUUCUUUUUGUUGCACACUUAGGGCUCCAGUGAUAUUGCCGAGGACUGUGGCCGGGUCAUGCACCAGGAACCUAAGAGCUCUAAGUCAGGAGAGUUGGGUUCCAGUUCUAACUCUGCCCAGAGCAGCGGAUGCAAUAUUGAGCCAAGUCAAUGAACAACUGUCAUUU